GAUGAACGCUAGCGGCAGGCUUAAUACAUGCAAGUCGAGGGGCAACAGGGGUAGCAAUACUCGCUGGCGACCGGCAAACGGGUGCGGAACACGUACAGAACCUUCCUUUAAGUGGGGAAUAGCCCAGAGAAAUUUGGAUUAAUACCCCGUAACAUUAUGGAGUGGCAUCACUUUAUAAUUAUAGAUUCAUCGCUUAAAGAUGGCUGUGCGGCUGAUUAGGUAGUUGGCGGGGUAACGGCCCACCAAGCCUGCGAUCAGUAACUGGUGUGAGAGCACGACCAGUCACACGGGCACUGAGACACGGGCCCGACUCCUACGGGAGGCAGCAGUAAGGAAUAUUGGUCAAUGGACGCAAGUCUGAACCAGCCAUGCCGCGUGGAGGAUGAAGGUCCUCUGGGAUUGUAAACUUCUUUUAUCUGGGAAGAAACCCAUGUUUUCUAAUGUGGUUGACGGUACCAGAUGAAUAAGCACC
Molecule: ribosomal RNA, 472 nt
Filed under: uncultured bacterium
Lineage: Bacteria
Description: bacterial SSU rRNA
Rfam family: Bacterial small subunit ribosomal RNA
Source: RNAcentral